Molecule: long non-coding RNA, 681 nt
Organism: Vidua chalybeata
Lineage: Eukaryota; Metazoa; Chordata; Aves; Passeriformes; Viduidae
Exons: 4
Source: RefSeq, a predicted model, not a curated record
UAGAACAUGGAAUGGGGUUAUCCUGGCUACCAGCAUACUCAAGAGGAUGAAGGUUUUAUGGCUGCAUAGAAAACCUUGGGCUGCAGGGUAUCCUUAUUGCCUUUCCAGGAGGAAAGUCUUGGUUUAAGAUGUAGAACACAUGUGUAUUUCUGGUUUAGUGCUCCUUUUUACCCAACCUACAUUAAAAUACGUAAAUCCAAGGGUUGCUUUAAAAUAAUGCACAUAACUGACUAAUGGAUCAAAAAGCCUGGAUUCUGUUCUUCAUUGUGGUUGUAAAUUUUCAGUUACUCUGCAAAGUCCUAUGAAUACCUAUGCCUCACUCUUUCUGCAAAACACUGAAGAAAGACCACCGGGGAACUCCUUUAGCUGUGACAUUGUAAUGGAAGGUGGAGACACCUCGAGGAGAAGGUCGAGACAGGCAACAGCAAUUACAGUCAAUAACAUCCUGACUUGCCUCUAUUACAGAAACCUCAGAAGAACUGUACACCCUUCAAAUCUGUGUUGAUGUGUUUUAAAUGUAUGAUAUGGAGCACAUCCACUCUCAGUGGGUUGCAGGAAGGAGCCAUAAAAUCAUAACACAUCUUUGGAGGGACAAACCACCAACAGCAGAAGACAGAGGAAACUUCGUGGUAUUGCAACCGAGCAGCCCCAGUGAUUUAUAUUAAACUUUUUUAGACUUUG